This 481-nucleotide ribosomal RNA is filed under the name uncultured bacterium. RNAcentral's name for it is "bacterial SSU rRNA". It matches the Rfam family "Bacterial small subunit ribosomal RNA", at positions 26 to 518 of the family's 1533-position model. The record is from RNAcentral.
AGGACGAACGCUGGCGGCGUGCUUAACACAUGCAAGUCGAACGGGGGACUUCGGUCCUAGUGGCGAACGGGUGAGUAAAGUGCAAAUAACCUGCCUCAAAGAUGGGGACAACAGCUCGAAAGGGUUGCUAAUACCGAAUGUUGUAUAGAGAGGGCAUCCUGAUUAUACUAAAGAUUUAUCGCUUUGAGAGGGGUUUGCAUCCGAUUAGGCAGUUGGCGGGUAAAAGCCCACCAAACCGACGAUCGGUAACCGGUCUGAGAGGAUGAACGGUCACAUUGGAACUGAGACACGGUCCAGACUCCUACGGGAGGCAGCAGUGGGGAAUAUUCCACAAUGGAGGGAACUCUGAUGGAGCGACGCCGCGUGAAGUGAAGAAGGGUUUAGGCUCGUAAAGCUCUUUUCUUGCAGAUGAAUGACUUAUUAGAUAAGUAGGGACAGUAUGUAAGGAAUAAGCCACGGCUAACUACGUGCCAGCAGCGGC